Molecule: transfer RNA, 72 nt
Filed under: Stegodyphus mimosarum
Lineage: Eukaryota; Metazoa; Arthropoda; Arachnida; Araneae; Eresidae
Rfam family: tRNA
About the family: Transfer RNA (tRNA) molecules are approximately 80 nucleotides in length. Their secondary structure includes four short double-helical elements and three loops (D, anti-codon, and T loops).
Source: Rfam by way of RNAcentral
GCCUUCGUGGUGUAACGGUCAACACACUUGGCGCCUAUUUGAGAAGUCCAGGUUCGAGUCCCGGCAAAGGAA